AGAGUUUGAUCAUGGCUCAGAUUGAACGCUGGCGGCACGCCUAACACAUGCAAGUCGAGCGGCAGCGCGGUUAGUAGCAAUACUGACUGGCGGCGAGCGGCGGACGGGUGAGGAACACGUAGGAAUCUACCCUCAAGCGGGGGACAACCAAGGGAAACUUUGGCUAAUACCGCAUACAGUCGAGAGAUGAAAGUUGCUCGCAAGGGUGACACUUGAGGAGGAGCCUGCGUCCGAUUAGCUAGUUGGUGAGGUAAAAGCUCACCAAGGCGAUGAUCGGUAACUGGUCUGAGAGGACGACCAGUCACACUGGGACUGAGACGCGGCCCAGACUCCUACGGGAGGCAGCAGUGGGGAAUAUUGGACAAUGGGGGCAACCCUGAUCCAGCGAUGCCGCGUGAGUGAAGAAGGCCUUCGGGUCGUAAAGCUCUUUAGUUUGGGAAGAAGGUUGUAGGAGGAAAUGCUUACAACUUGACGGUACCGAAAGAAUAAGCACCGGCAAACUCUGUGCCAGCAGCCGCGGUAAUACAGAGGGUGCGAGCGUUAAUCGGAGUUACUGGGCGUAAAGGGCGCGUAGGCGGUGAUAUGAGUGUGAUGUGAAAGCCCCGGGCUUAACCUGGGAAGUGCAUCGCAAACGAUAUGACUAGAGUACAUGAGAGGGUGGCGGAAUUUCCGGUGUAGCGGUGAAAUGCGUAGAGAUCGGAAGGAACGUCAAUGGCGAAGGCAGCCACCUGGCAUGAUACUGACGCUGAGGCGCGAAAGCGUGGGGAGCGAACAGGAUUAGAUACCCUAGUAGUCC
RNAcentral lists this ribosomal RNA (796 nucleotides) under uncultured bacterium. RNAcentral describes it as "bacterial SSU rRNA". It matches the Rfam family "Bacterial small subunit ribosomal RNA", at positions 8 to 796 of the family's 1533-position model. The record is from RNAcentral.